RNAcentral lists this ribosomal RNA (252 nucleotides) under uncultured bacterium. Its description in RNAcentral is "partial 16S ribosomal RNA". It matches the Rfam family "Bacterial small subunit ribosomal RNA", at positions 525 to 776 of the family's 1533-position model. The record is from RNAcentral.
ACGGAGGGUGCGAGCGUUAUCCGGAUUUAUUGGGUUUAAAGGGUGCGUAGGCGGACUAAUAAGUCAGUGGUGAAAUCUUGCAGCUUAACUGUAAAACUGCCAUUGAUACUGUUAGUCUUGAAUUUAGUUGAGGUAGGCGGAAUGUGUUGUGUAGCGGUGAAAUGCAUAGAUAUAACACAGAACACCAAUUGCGAAGGCAGCUUACUAAGCUAUAAUUGACGCUGAUGCACGAAAGCGUGGGUAGCGAACAGG